RNAcentral lists this unclassified non-coding RNA (426 nucleotides) under soil metagenome. Its description in RNAcentral is "partial contains 5.8S ribosomal RNA, internal transcribed spacer 2, and large subunit ribosomal RNA". The stretch from base 1 to 120 matches the Rfam family "5.8S ribosomal RNA", at positions 35 to 154 of the family's 154-position model. The record is from RNAcentral.
GAUGAAGAACGUAGCGAAAUGCGAUAAGUAAUGUGAAUUGCAGAUUUCAGUGAAUCAUCGAAUCUUUGAACGCACCUUGCGCCUUGUGGUAUUCCACAAGGCAUGCCCGUUUGAGUAUCAUUAAAUCAUCAACUCUAAAACCUUUGUGGUUUUUUUUAGAGCUUGGUCUUGAGGGUUUUGCAGGCUUUUUUUUUUUUUCGAGUCUGCUCCCUUUAAAUGCAUUAGCGAGACUUCCCUCUGCUGAACCGUCUCUUUGACGUGAUAAUUAUCUGCGUCGAAUUUUGGUUCUCGUUGGGCUUGCUUCUAAUCGUCUGUUAAAGACAAAACGGAUUUGGGUGCAUAUAUGCGCCUUUUUCCAAAACCUUUUUUUGAUCUCAAAUCGGGUAGGACUACCCGCUGAACUUAAGCAUAUCAAUAAGCGGAGGA